AUUUGCAAGUCACUGCGCGGCGCAUGCAGAAGCAGCCGCGGGCCGGCGGGGCGCGCAGAUAAGGUCUGGGGGCGUGGGUUUCGGGCUGUACCUGCAUUAUCGCGGCUUCCUUAAGCUCGGAUGAAUAUGUAAAUCUCUCGCUGCAGCCUUCCGGUGCCGCAGUCGCAGCCGUGGGGGCCGCCUCCGCUGUAGCAAUUCCGAGGUUUUGCCGUUUCCAGUAUGUCGUAGAGUUGAAAUCAUACCAUAUGGAGCCUGUUCAGAUGGGCUUCUUUCAGUUAGUCACAUGCGUUUAAAGUUUCUCCAUGUUGUUUUAUGGCUUGUGCCCACUUUGUUCAUCUCUGCUCACUGGGGGAGCCAGGACACGGAUCCAGGUUUUCUGACUCCAGGUCUCAGGCUUGCUCCAUAGCGCCACCUGCUGGUGACGGCAAUCGGUAGGCACCCAAAUCAAGACUCAGAUUUCCUCAUCUCAGAAGUUGUCCACUUCUUCUCCGACCUCCACGGUAACUCGGAACCACACCGUGGAGUUAUCCCUGUGUCCUCUUUCUCGGAAGUUCCACAUCCAACCCCUCAGCAGGUCUCAGCGGCACUCUCACCACCUCCUCUGCUCUGUUCCUGUUUCUCUUGGAUGGUCGAAUGUUUCCUAAGGAGUGUCUGCUGCUUCACGCUUGCCCCCUGGAGUGGCAUCUAAAAGGAUACCCUACAACUAACAGGCAUGAUGCCAUCAAGACAUCUUGAGCCUGGCUACCUCCCGUGGCCUGUAUUUUGUCCACAGGAAACUCGCGCAGUCUCACUACAGCAAAUUGAGGUGGUAUGGGGUGCCUGCUGCUGCCUCUCUCUUCACCUUUCCACAGAGGGCUGCCCCAGCCUGACUCCCACUUCCAGAGUUUCUCCAGCCAGGAGAAUCCUGAAAUCUCUGUAAAUAAGCAAUCCAGGAGCCAGAGAAUCAUGGGAUCUCAUAUAAACAAAUCAUCAAGGAAAAACACAGCCAGAGUCUCCAUUUGGUAAACCUCCGUGACUGGGGAUCCCCGGCCACCCAGAAAGCAGUAUUGCCUGCCAUGCAUGUCAUCACUGAUUUUUACUGCUGCAGCAGACUCCGUCAGACCUGCCUGCUGCUUCAGCGAAUUGUUCAGUGCACACCACCAGCUACCUGCUGUAAGCAUUCACACUCCUCUACCUGCCUGGCAGCAUUUCUCAGCUGAACACAGGCCAGGCCAGAAGUGCCAGGGAUUUAAUGCCCUUAGAAGUAGCUCUCUACCAAUGACAAAUGGAGCUGGUGGAUACAUUCUCAGCUUCCUCCCCUCUCAGGUGGAACAGCCCUGAGAUGUGCUCUAUGCAAUCUCCCACAAGUCCCCAGCAGGCUCAAGCUCCCAUUGUCCAACCCUGGUAACCUGCUCAUUGACACCCCUGUCUUGCCUUCCCUUCCUGGCCUCACUUUCUCACUCUCUUACUGUUGCCUCCUGAGAUCGCAUCCAAAAUAAAUGACCUGCACCCA
Molecule: long non-coding RNA, 1492 nt
Filed under: Homo sapiens (human)
Lineage: Eukaryota; Metazoa; Chordata; Mammalia; Primates; Hominidae
Description: long independently transcribed non-coding RNA 2128, transcript variant 3 (LINC02128)
Source: RNAcentral